CUUCCUUCCUCAGGAGCUCCACAGACCUGGCUGGCUGAAUUCAGCAGGACUGGGGCAGAGAUGCUGGAGGCCACAGCCCAUAUGCUCCUUUCAACACUGAAGGCUCCUUGGAGGACCAGGAGCACAGAGAUUCCACCUGGACCAGCAGGAAAAGGGUCAUCCUCCAGUGAGUGCCCUGAAACCUCAGGUCUGCUACUGCCCUGUACACAUUUCUUUGGAGUAGGCAGCUGGGGUCAAGCUUGGUUGAAAAAA
Calypte anna (Anna's hummingbird) is the source of this 252-nucleotide long non-coding RNA. RefSeq lists it as uncharacterized. The record is from RefSeq and is a predicted model, not a curated record. Lineage: Eukaryota; Metazoa; Chordata; Aves; Apodiformes; Trochilidae. The transcript has 3 exons.